GACGAACGCUGGCGGCGUGCUUAACACAUGCAAGUCGAACGGAAAGGCCCUGCUUUUGUGGGGUGCUCGAGUGGCGAACGGGUGAGUAACACGUGAGUAACCUGCCCUUGACUUUGGGAUAACUUCAGGAAACUGGGGCUAAUACCGGAUAGGAGCUCCUGCUGCAUGGUGGGGGUUGGAAAGUUUCGGCGGUUGGGGAUGGACUCGCGGCUUAUCAGCUUGUUGGUGGGGUAGUGGCUUACCAAGGCUUUGACGGGUAGCCGGCCUGGGAGGGUGACCGGCCACAUUGGGACUGGGAUACGGCCCAGACUCCUACGGGAGGCAGCAGUGGGGAAUAUUGCACAAUGGGCGGAAGCCUGAUGCAGCAACGCCGCGUGCGGGAUGACGGCCUUCGGGUUGUAAACCGCUUUCGCCUGUGACGAAGCGUGAGUGACGGUAAUGGGUAAAGAAGCACCGGCUAACUACGU
RNAcentral lists this ribosomal RNA (467 nucleotides) under uncultured bacterium. RNAcentral's name for it is "partial 16S ribosomal RNA". It matches the Rfam family "Bacterial small subunit ribosomal RNA", at positions 28 to 506 of the family's 1533-position model. The record is from RNAcentral.